CCUAACACAUGCAAGUCGAACGAAGUAGCAAUACUUAGUGGCAGACGGGUGAGUAACAUGUAGGUAUCUUCCCUUUGGCCUGGAAUAACACGAGGAAACUUGUGCUAAUACCGGAUAAGUCUUUACGGAGAAAGCUUUAUGCACCAUUGGAUGAGCCUGCACUUGAUUAGUUUGUUGGUGGGGUAAUGGCCUACCAAGACUUUGAUCAAUAGCUGAUUUGAGAGGAUGAUCAGCCACAUUGGGACUGAGACACGGCCCAAACUCCUACGGGAGGCAGCAGUGGGGAGUCUUGCACAAUGGAGGAAACUCUGAUGCAGCGAUGCCGCGUGAGUGAAGAAGGCCUUUGGGUUGUAAAGCUCUUUCGUCGGGGAAGAAAAUGACUGUACCCGAAUAAGAAGGUCCGGCUAACUUCGUGCCAGCAGCCGCGGUAAUACGAAGGGACCUAGCGUAGUUCGGAAUUACUGGGCUUAAAGAGUUCGUAGGUGGUUGAAAAAGUUGGUGGUGAAAUCCCAGAGCUUAACUCUGGAACUGCCAUCAAAACUUUUCAGCUAGGGUUUGAUAGAGGAAAGCAGAAUUUCUAGUGUAGAGGUGAAAUUCGUAGAUAUUAGAAAGAAUACCAAUUGCGAAGGCAGCUUUCUGGAUCAUUACUGACAC
RNAcentral lists this ribosomal RNA (654 nucleotides) under uncultured marine bacterium. RNAcentral describes it as "bacterial SSU rRNA". It matches the Rfam family "Bacterial small subunit ribosomal RNA", at positions 47 to 746 of the family's 1533-position model. The record is from RNAcentral.